AAAAAGGGCUUCUGUUGUGAGUGGACACAUGUUGGGCAACUCAACUGCUCUUUGUGCGGAAUCAACAUCAAGAGAUUUUGGAAGCAUCAUUUUUUAGUACCUGGGGAGCUGGUGAUCAUUGGUCUCAGUGCCCAU
This is a small nuclear RNA of Nycticebus coucang (slow loris), 135 nucleotides long. RefSeq annotates it as U11 spliceosomal RNA. Lineage: Eukaryota; Metazoa; Chordata; Mammalia; Primates; Lorisidae. The transcript has a single exon. The record is from RefSeq and is a predicted model, not a curated record.